Branchiostoma floridae (Florida lancelet) is the source of this 397-nucleotide long non-coding RNA. RefSeq lists it as uncharacterized. The transcript is spliced from 2 exons. The record is from RefSeq and is a predicted model, not a curated record. NCBI's taxonomy places the organism in Eukaryota, Metazoa, Chordata, Leptocardii, Amphioxiformes, Branchiostomatidae.
GCGGCGCCCAUGUCGAAUCCUCACGACAGGACGUGAAAACCUAAACCCAAGGCCGACGUGGAGGAGGAAGAAGAAGAAGAAGAUCCUAUAGACAAGCUGGUCAACGCGUCAGGAUGUGCGGAUCAACACUUUGCACUCCUAGACUGCAUGGCAGAGCACCAAGACUGGAGGAAGUGUCAGGAGGAGACAAAGAAGUUCAGGUUGUGCAUGACAGAAGCACAGAAGAAGAAGCUGGAGAAGAGAUGACAAGAUACCCCCUCCCUCGUCCUCCAGAUGACAAUAGCCUCAUUAUCAUAGUGGACAUGAUUGUAAGUGACUAGCAGAAACACUGACUCAUCUAUGGUCUUUUGCACAGGACUGCCUGAAAAGUAGGUCAGGGUUUGACCUUAGUGUACAC